GACGAACGCUGGCGGCGUGCUUAACACAUGCAAGUCGAACGAUGAACCCGGAGCUUGCUCCGGCGGAUUAGUGGCGAACGGGUGAGUAACACGUGAGUAACCUGCCCUUGACUCUGGGAUAACUGCUAGAAAUGGUAGCUAAUACCGGAUACGACCCUCGGCGGCAUCGCCAGGGGGUGGAAAGAAUUUCGGUCAAGGAUGGAAUCGGUGCCUGUCAGCUAGUUGGGGAGGUAACGGCUCAACAAGGCGACGACGGGUAGCCGGACUGAGAGGGUGACCGGCCCCACUGGAACGGAGACCAGGCCCAGACUCCUACGGGAGGCAGCAGUGGGGAAUAUUGCACAAUGGGCGCAAGCCUGAUGCAGCACCGCCGCGUGAGGGAUGACGGCAUUCGGGUUGUAAACCUCUUUUAGUAGGGAAGAAGCGAAAGUGACGGUACCUGCAGAAAAAGCACCGGCUAACUACGUGCCAGCAGCCGCCGUAA
RNAcentral lists this ribosomal RNA (484 nucleotides) under uncultured bacterium. Its description in RNAcentral is "partial 16S ribosomal RNA". It matches the Rfam family "Bacterial small subunit ribosomal RNA", at positions 28 to 523 of the family's 1533-position model. The record is from RNAcentral.